AUAUAUAUAUAUAUAUGAUAUUAACACACACUCAUUGCACUUUAUCCCUUUCCCGAACAACGAGUACAACAAGUCCGCUCUUUUACGAUUGGAAUGGAAGUGUUUCCUGAAGUGUGACGUAGUGAGCAAUGACACAUUUUUAAUUUUUUUUUUAAAUAAUUGGGAGAAGUGGGAGGAUAUACCUUUUUAUACUGGCUCUAGCAUUGUCCUCAUGAUGAGAUUCACUAUUUAUCAGUCAAGAAUCAUGAAGUUGUCAUAAUUUUGCUAUAUUGGUGUCACGUGAUAAUCUUAGGUAAUACCCCUUGACCAUGAGCUUGACUGAUUAAAAUGCUGCCUAGAAACCCAUUUAAUUAUUGCAGUUUGAAUUAAUUCCACAUACCUUGUGUUUGAAGGAUUGAACUGCACUAGUUGAUUAACCUGCACUUCCCUUCUACUCAAAUGUUCAACUUC
This 450-nucleotide unclassified non-coding RNA is filed under the name Hevea brasiliensis (rubber tree). The record is from RNAcentral. Lineage: Eukaryota; Viridiplantae; Streptophyta; Magnoliopsida; Malpighiales; Euphorbiaceae.